GACGAACGCUGGCGGCGUGCUUAACACAUGCAAGUCGAACGGAAAGGCCCUGCUUUUGUGGGGUGCUCGAGUGGCGAACGGGUGAGUAACACGUGAGUAACCUGCCCUUGACUUUGGGAUAACUUCAGGAAACUGGGGCUAAUACCGGAUAGGAUCUCCUGCUGCAUGGUGGUGGUUGGUUAGUUUCGGCGGUUGGGGAUGGACUCGCGGCUUAUCAGCUUGUUGGUUGGGUAGUGGCUUACCAAGGGUUUGACGGGUAGCCGGCCUGUGAGGGUGAACGGGGACAUUGGGAAUGAGAGAGGGAGCAGAAGGGAACGGGAGGCAGCAGGGGGGAAUAUGGCAGAAUGGGGGGAAGCGGGAUGCAGCAACGCCGCGUGCGGGAUGACGGCCUACGGGUUGUAAACAGAUGUCGCCGGUGACGAAGAGGGAGUGACGGUAAUGGGUAAAGAAGCACCGGCUAACUACGUG
This 468-nucleotide ribosomal RNA is filed under the name uncultured bacterium. RNAcentral describes it as "partial 16S ribosomal RNA". It matches the Rfam family "Bacterial small subunit ribosomal RNA", at positions 28 to 507 of the family's 1533-position model. The record is from RNAcentral.